AGUGAACGCUGGCGGCAUGCCUAACACAUGCAAGUCGAACGGCAGCACGGUAAGCUCGUUCCCUUGCUGUUGGCGGCGGGCGGAUGGGUGACGCGUACAUCGCAAUCUUCUUUUUCGUGGGUAAUUUCGGGGAGCCGCUGCCACUAAUACCUCAUAUUAUCUACCGCUGAGUUCAAAGGAUCUUCGGAGCUUUGCCGAUUGUAUUAGAUGAUUCGGCGUUGCAUUAGCUAGUUGGUAAGGUAACGGCCUACCAAGGCGACGAUGCAUAGCUGACCUGAGAGGAUGAUCAGCCACACUGGAACUGAGACACGGUCCAGACUCCUACGGGAGGCAGCAGUGGGGAAUCUUCGACAAUGGGCGAAAGCCUGACGCAGCAAUGCCGCGUGAGUGAAGAAGGCCUUCGGGUCGUAAAGCCCUGUUAUUGGGAAAGAACAGAAGUAGAAGAAACCCCGCACAUUCUGACGGUACCUAAACAAAAAGCCACGGCUAACUUCGUG
RNAcentral lists this ribosomal RNA (497 nucleotides) under uncultured bacterium. RNAcentral's name for it is "partial 16S ribosomal RNA". It matches the Rfam family "Bacterial small subunit ribosomal RNA", at positions 29 to 507 of the family's 1533-position model. The record is from RNAcentral.